GGUGAGAUGGCCGAGCGGUCCAAGGCGCCAGACUAAGGUUGGAAAAUUCCUCAAUCUCAUCUGGUCUCUUCGGGGGCGGGAGUUCGAAUCUCCCUCUCAUCA
Arthromyces matolae is the source of this 102-nucleotide non-coding RNA. The record is from the annotation of a GenBank genome assembly. Lineage: Eukaryota; Fungi; Basidiomycota; Agaricomycetes; Agaricales; Lyophyllaceae.